This 429-nucleotide ribosomal RNA is filed under the name Gemmatimonadota bacterium. RNAcentral describes it as "Gemmatimonadetes bacterium partial 16S ribosomal RNA". It matches the Rfam family "Bacterial small subunit ribosomal RNA", at positions 355 to 776 of the family's 1533-position model. The record is from RNAcentral. Lineage: Bacteria; Pseudomonadati; Gemmatimonadota.
UAGGGAAUCUUCGGCAAUGGACGCAAGUCUGACCGAGCAACGCCGCGUGAGUGAAGAAGGUUUUCGGAUCGUAAAACUCUGUUGUUAGAGAAGAACAAGGACGUUAGUAACUGAACGUCCCCUGACGGUAUCUAACCAGAAAGCCACGGCUAACUACGUGCCAGCAGCCGCGGUAAUACGUAGGUGGCAAGCGUUGUCCGGAUUUAUUGGGCGUAAAGCGAGCGCAGGCGGUUUCUUAAGUCUGAUGUGAAAGCCCCCGGCUCAACCGGGGAGGGUCAUUGGAAACUGGGAGACUGGAGUGCAGAUGAGGAGAGUGGAAUUCCAUGUGUAGCGGUGAAAUGCGUAGAUAUAUGGAGGAACACCAGUGGCGAAGGCGGCUCUCUGGUCUGUAACUGACGAUGAGGCUCGAAAGCGUGGGGAGCAAACAGG